Molecule: long non-coding RNA, 7193 nt
Filed under: Lathyrus oleraceus (garden pea)
Lineage: Eukaryota; Viridiplantae; Streptophyta; Magnoliopsida; Fabales; Fabaceae
Description: Pisum sativum (pea) long non-coding RNA (PSAT_LNC040482)
Source: RNAcentral
UCAAUCUUCUCAUUUCUUGAUAACAAUAUACAAAAUUUAGCAAAACAAGAACACUAAUAACACUAUCAAUCUUCUCAUUUCUUGAUAACAAUAUACAAAAUUUAGCAUAACAAGAACACUAACAACAUUAUCAAUCUCCUUAUUUCUUGAUAACAAUAUACAAAAUUUAGCAAAACAAGAACACUAAGAACACUAUCAAUCUUCUCAUUUCUUGAUAACAAUAUACAAAAUUUAGCAAAACAAGAACACUAAUAACACUAUCAAUCUUCUCAUUUGUUGAUAACAAUAUACAAAAUUUAGCAAAACAAGAACACUAAUAACACUAUCAAUCUUCUCAUUUGUUGAUAACAAUAUACAAAAUUUAGCAAAACAAGAACACUAAUAACACUAUCAAUCUUUUCAAUUUUUCAUAACAAUAUACAGGUAAGUAUGCUAAGAAAAAAGAAGCAAAAAAAUAACUCACGAAAUAGAGUCCUGAAGAUGUGCGUACGGAUAUAGGAAGCAGCGGUGUGGCCUUUGAAGCCAUCAUAAAUUCCAACGAAUAGUGCGUCAUGGCUUACAUCGUCGUAGUUGUGAUCUUCCAUAUCCUUAUUUGACUAACAGAAGCCAUGGAGAAUUCCCCAUGGCAAUGCCUUUCAUUUUUGGGAGAUUUUGGUAAAGGGUCAGCGUUAAAUGUUUCUUGAUAACAAGAACACUAAUAACACUAUCAAUCUUCUCAUUUCUUGAUAACAAUAUACAAAAAUUAGCAAAACAAGAACACUAAUAACACUAUCAAUCUUCUCAUUUCUUGAUAACAAUAUACAAAAUUUAGCAAAACAAGAACACUAAUAACACUAUCAAUCUUCUCAUUUCUUGAUAACAAUAUACAAAAAUUAGCAAAACAAGAACACUAAUAACACUAUCAAUCUUCUCAUUUCUUAAUAACAAUUUACAAAAUUUAGCAAAACAAGAACACUAAUAACACUAUCAAUCUUUUCAUUUCUUCAUAACAAUAUACAGGUAAGUAUGCUAAGAAAAAAGAAGCAAAAAAAUAACUCACGCAAUAGAGUCCUAAAGAUGUGCGUACGGAUAUAGGAAGCAGCGGUGUGGCCUUUGAAGCCAUCAUAAAUUCCAACGAACUGUGCGUCAUGGCUUACAUCGUCCUAGUUGUGACCUUCCAUAUCCUUAUUUAACUAACAGAAGCCAUGGAGAAUUCCCCAUGGCAAUGCCUUUCAUUUUUGGGAGAUUUUGAUAAAGGGCCAGCGUUAAAUGUUUCUUGAUAACAAGAACACUAAUAACACUAUCAAUCUUCUCAUUUCUUGAUAACAAUAUACAAAAUUUAGCAAAACAAGAACACUAAUAACACUAUCAAUCUUCUCAUUUCUUGAUAACAAUAUACAAAAUUUAGCAAAACAAGAACACUAAUAACACUAUCAAUCUUCUCAUUUCUUGAUAACAAUAUACAAAAUUUAGCAAAACAAGAACACUAAUAACACUAUCAAUCUUCUCAUUUCUUGAUAACAAUAUACAAAAUUUAGCAAAACAAGAACACUAAUAACACUAUCAAUCUUCUCAUUUCUUGAUAACAAUAUACAAAAUUUAGCAAAACAAGAACACUAAUAACACUAUCAAUCUUCUCAUUUCUUGAUAACAAUAUACAAAAUUUAGCAAAACAAGAACACUAAUAACACUAUCAAUCUUCUCAUUUCUUGAUAACAAUAUACAAAAUUUAGCAAAACAAGAACACUAAUAACACUAUCAAUCUUCUCAUUUCUUGAUAACAAUAUACAAAAUUUAGCAAAACAAGAACACUAAUAACACUAUCAAUCUUCUCAUUUCUUGAUAACAAUAUACAAAAUUUAGCAAAACAAGAACACUAAUAACACUAUCAAUCUUCUCAUUUCUUGAUAACAAUAUACAAAAUUUAGCAAAACAAGAACACUAAUAACACUAUCAAUCUUCUCAUUUCUUGAUAACAAUAUACAAAAUUUAGCAAAACAAGAACACUAAUAACACUAUCAAUCUUCUCAUUUCUUGAUAACAAUAUACAAAAUUUAGCAAAACAAGAACACUAAUAACACUAUCAAUCUUCUCAUUUCUUGAUAACAAUAUACAAAAUUUAGCAAAACAAGAACACUAAUAACACUAUCAAUCUUCUCAUUUCUUGAUAACAAUAUACAAAAUAGAGAGAUCAAAUACAAGAACACUAUAACACUAUCAAUCUCUCAUUUCUUGAUAACAUAUACAAAAUUUAGCAAACAAGAACACUAAUAACACUAUCAUCUUCUCAUUUCUUGAUAACAAUAUACAAAAUUUAGCAAACAAGAACACUAAUAACACUAUCAAUCUUCUCAUUUUCUGAUAACAAUAUACAAAAUUUAGCAAAACAAGAACACUAAUAACAUCUAUCAUCUCCUUAUUCUUGAUAACAAUAUACAAAAUUUAGCAAACAAGAACACUAAUAACAUUAUCAAUCUUCUCAUUUCUUGAUAACAAUAUACAAAAUUUAGCAAAACAAGAACACUAAUAACACUAUCAAUCUUCUCAUUUCUUGAUAACAAUACAAAAUUUAGCAAAAGAACAACUAUAACACUAUCAAUCUUUUCAUUUCUUGAUAACAUAUACAAAUUUAGCAAACAAGAACACUAAUAACACUAUCAUCUUCUAUUUUUGAUACAAAUAUAAAAAUUUAGCAAAACAAGAACACUAAUAACACUAUCAUCUUCUCAUUUCUUGAUAACAAUAUACAAAAUUUAGCAAACAAGAACACUAAAAACACUAUCAAUCUUCUCAUUUCUUGUAACAAUAUACAAAAUUUAGCAAAACAAGAACACUAAUAACACUAUCAAUCUUUCAUUUCUUGAUAACAUUUACAAAAUUUAGCAAAACAAGAACACUAAUAACACUAUCAUCUUUCUCAUUCUUGAUAACAAUAUACAAAUUUUAGCAAAACAAGAACACUAUAACACUAUCAAUCUUCUCAUUUCUUGAUAACAAUAUACAAAAUUUAGCAAACAAGAACACUAUAACACUAUCAAUCUUUUCAUUUCUUGAUAACAAUAUACAAAAUUUAGCAAAACAAGAACACUAAUAACACUAUCAUUCUUCUCAUUUCUUGAUAACAUAUACAAAAUUUAGCAAAACAAGAACACUAAUAACACUAUCAAUCUUCUCAUUUCUUGAAACAAUAUACAAAAUUUAGCAAACAAGAACACUAAUAAACUAUCAAUCUUCUCAUUUCUUGAUAACAAUAUACAAAAUUAGCAAAACAAGAACACAUAAUACACUAUCAAUCUUCUCAUUUCUUGAUAACAAUAUACAAAUUUAGCAAAACAACAACACUAAUAACACUAUCAAUCUUCUCAUUUCUUGAUAACAAUAUACAAAUUUAGCAAAACAAGAACACUAAUAACACUAUCAAUCUUCUCAUUUCUUGAUAACAAUAUACAAAAUUUAGAAAAACAAGAACACUAACAACAUUAUCAAUCUCCUUAUUUCUUGAUAACAAUAUACAAAAUUUAGCAAAACAAGAACACUAAAAACACUAUCAAUCUUAUCAUUUCUUGAUUACAAUAUACAAAAUUUAGCAAAACAAGAACACUACUAACACUAUCAAUCUUCUCAUUUCUUGAUAACAAUAUACAAAAUUUAGCAAAACAAGAACACUAAUAACACUAUCAAUCUUUUCAUUUCUUCAUAACAAUAUACAGGGAAGUAUGCUAAGAAAAAAGAAGCAAAAAAAUAACUCACGUAACAGAGUCCUAAAGAUGUGCGUACGGAUAUAGGAAGCAGCGGUGUGGCCUUUGAAGCCAUCAUAAAUUCCAACGAACAGUGCGUCAUGGCUUACAUCGUCCUAGUUGUGAUCUUCCAUAUCCUUAUUUUACUAACAGAAGCAAUGGAGAAUUCCCCAUGGCAAUGCCUUUCAUUUUUGGGAGAUUUUGGUAAAGGGUCAGCGUUAAAUGUUUCUUGAUAACAAGAACACUAAUAACACUAUCAAUCUUCUCAUUUCUUGAUAAUAAUAUACAAAAAUUAGCAAAACAAGAACACUUAUCAGACUAUCAACCUUCUCAUUUUUUGAUAACAAUAUACAAAAUUUAGCAAAACAAGAACACUAAUAACACUAUCAAUCUUCUCAUUUCUUGACAACAAUAUACAAAAUUUAGCAAAACAAGAACACUAAUAACACUAUCAAUCUUCUCAUUUCUUGAUAACAAUAUACAAAAUUUAGCAAAACAAGAACACUAAUAACACUAUCAAUCUUCUCAUUUCUUGAUAACAAUAUACAAAAUUUAGCAAAACAAGAACACUAGUAACACUAUCAAUCUUCUCAUUUUUUUGAUAACAAUAUACAAAAUUUAGCAAAACAAGAACACUAAUAACACUAUCAAUCUUCUCAUUUCUUGACAACAAUAUACAAAAUUUAGCGAAACAAGAACACUAAUAACACUAUCAAUAUUCUCAUUUCUUGAUAACAAUAUACAAAAUUAGCAAAACAAGAACACUAAUAACACUAUCAAUCUUCUAAUUUCUAGAUAACAAUAUACAAAAUUUUAGCAAAACAACAACACUAAUAACACUAUCAAUCUUCUCAUUUCUUGAUAACAAUAUACAAAUUUAGCAAAACAAGAACACUAAUAACACUAUCAAUCUUCUUAUUUCUUGAUAACAAUAUACAAAAUUUAGCAAAACAAGAACACUAACAACAUUAUCAAUCUCCUUAUUUCUUGAUAACAAUAUACAAAAUUUAGCAAAACAAGAACACUAAAAACACUAUCAAUCUUCUCAUUUCUUGAUAACAAUAUUAACAAAAUUUAGCAAAACAAGAAACACUAAUAACACUAUCAAUUUUCUCAUUUCUUGAUAACAAUAUACAAAUUUAGCAAAACAAGAACACUAAUAACACUAUCAAUCUUCUCAUUCUUGAUAACAAUAUACAAAAUUUAGCAAACAAGAACACUAAUAACACUAUCAAUCUUCUCAUUCUUGAUAACAAUAUACAAAUUUAGCAAAACAAGAACUACUAACACUAUCAAUCUUCUCAUUUCUUGAUAACAAUAUACAAAAUUUAGCAAAACAAGAACAUAAUAACACUAUCAAUCUUCUCAUUUCUUGAUAACAAUAUACAAAAUUAGCAAAACAAGAACAUAAUAACACUAUCAAUCUUCUAUUUCUGUAACAAUAUACAAAAUUUAGCAAAACAAAACACUAAUAACACUAUCAAUCUUCUCAUUUCUUGAUAACAAUAUACAAAUUUAGCAAAACAAGAACACUAAUAACACUAUCAAUCUUCUCAUUUCUUGAUACAAUACAACAAAUUUAGCAAACAAGAACACUAAAACACAUCAUCUCUUAUUUCUUGAUAACAUUACAAAAUUUAGCAAACAAGAACACUAAUAAACUAUCAAUCUUCUCAUUUCUGAUAACAAUAUACAAAUUUAGCAAAACAAGAACACUAUAACACUAUCAAUCUUCUCAUUUCUUAGAAACAAUAUACAAAAUUUAGCAAAACAAGAACACUAAUAACACUUCAAUCUUCUCAUUCUUGAUAACAAUAUACAAAAUUUAGCAAAACAAGAACCACUAAUAACACUAUCAAUCUUCUCAUUUCUUGAUAACAAUAUACAAAAUUUAGCAAAACAAGAACACUAUAACACUAUCAAUCUUCUCAUUUUUUUGAUAACAAUAUACAAAAUUUAGCACAAACAGAACACUAUCUAAUCUUCUCAUUUCUUGAAACAAUAUACAAAAUUUAGCAAAACAAGAACACUAAAACUAUCAAUUUCUCAUUUCUUGAUAACAAUAUACAAAAUUUAGCAAAACAAAGAAACACUAAUAACACUAUCAAUCUUCUCAUUUUCUGAUAACAAUAUACAAAAUUUAGCAAACAAAACACUAAUAACACUAUCAAUCUUCUCAUUUCUUGAUAACAUAUAACAAAUUUAGCAAAAACAAGAACACUAAUAACACUAUCAAUCUUCUAUUUCUUGAUAACAAUAUACAAAAUUUAGCAAAAAACAAGAACACUAACAACUAUCAAUCUCUUAUUUUCUUGAUAACAAUAUACAAAUUUUAGCAAAACAAGAACACUAAUAACACUAUCAAUCUUCUCAUUUCUUGAUAACAAUAUACAAAAUUUAGCAAAACAAGAACACUAAUAACACUAUCAAUCUUCUCAUUUCUUGUAACAAUUACAAAAUUUAGCAAACAAGAACACUAAUAACACUAUAAUCUUCUCAUUUCUAUAACAAUAUACAGUAGUAUUAAGAAAAAAGACGCAAAAAAAUAACUCACUAAUAACCCUAACGAAUGUGCGUACAUAUAGAAAGCAGCGUUCUUAACAUCUAAAUUCCACGAACAGUGCGUCAUGCUUACAUCGUCCUAGUUGUGAUCUUCAUAUCUUAUUUGACUAAAAAGCAUGGAGAAUUCCCAUGCAAUGCUUCUCAUUUUUGAAUUUUUAAAGGGUCAGCGUUAAAUGUUUCUUGAAACAAGAACACUAAUAACACUAUCAAUCUUCUCAUUUCUUGAUAACAAUAUACAAAAAUUAGCAAAACAAAAAACACUAAUAACACUAUCAACCUUCUCAUUUCUUGAUAACAAUUAUACAAUUUAGCAAACAAGACUAUACACUAUCAAUCUUCUCUUUUUGAUAACAAUAUACAAAUUUAGCAAACAAGAACACUAAUACACUAUCAAUCUUCUCAUUUCUUGAAACAAUAUACAAAAUUUAGCAAACAAGAAAAACUAAUAACAUAUCAAUCUUCUCAUUUCUUGAUAACAUAUACAAAAUUUAGCAAAACAAGAAACAUAAUAAACUAUCAAUCUUCUUUUCUUGAUAACAAUAUACAAAAUUUAGCAAAACAAGAACACUAAUAACACUAUCAAUCUUCUCAUUUCUUGAUAACAAUAUACAAAUUUAGCAAAAACAAGAACACUAAUAACACUAUCAUCUUCUCAUUUCUUGAUAACAAUAUACAAAUUUAGCAAAACAAGAACACUAAAACAUUAUCAAUCUCCUUAUUUCUUUAAACAAUAAUCAAAAUUUAGCAAACCAAGAACACUAAAAACACAAAUCAAUCUUCUCAUUUCUUGAUAACAAUAUACAAAAUUUAGAAAAACAAGAACACUAAUAACACUAUCAAUCUUCUCAUUUCUUGAUAACAAUAUACAAAAUUUAGCAAAACAAGAACACUAAUAACACUAUCAAUCUUCUCUUU